UAGGGAAUCUUCCACAAUGGGCGAAAGCCUGAUGGAGCAACGCCGCGUGAGUGAGGAAGGCUUUCGGGUCGUAAAGCUCUGUUGCCAGGGAAGAAUAAGGAUCAUUUAACUGAUGAUCCGAUGACGGUACCUGAGAAGAAAGCCCCGGCUAACUACGUGCCAGCAGCCGCGGUAAUACGUAGGGGGCAAGCGUUGUCCGGAAUUAUUGGGCGUAAAGCGCGCGCAGGCGGCUCUUUAAGUCUGGUGUUUAAAGUGCGGGGCUCAACCCCGUGACGCACUGGAAACUGGGGAGCUUGAGUGCAGAAGAGGAGAGCGGAAUUCCACGUGUAGCGGUGAAAUGCGUAGAGAUGUGGAGGAACACCAGUGGCGAAGGCGGCUCUCUGGACUGUAACUGACGCUGAGGCGCGAAAGCGUGGGGAGCAAACAGGAUUAGAUACCCUGGUAGUCCACGCCGUAAACGAUGAGUGCUAGGUGUUGGGGGUAUCAUGCCCUCGGUGCCGAAGUUAACACAUUAAGCACUCCGCCUGGGGAGUACGGUCGCAAGACUGAAACUCAAAGGAAUUGACGGGGUCAU
RNAcentral lists this ribosomal RNA (574 nucleotides) under uncultured bacterium. RNAcentral's name for it is "partial 16S ribosomal RNA". It matches the Rfam family "Bacterial small subunit ribosomal RNA", at positions 355 to 922 of the family's 1533-position model. The record is from RNAcentral.